UACGAAGGACCCGAGCGUUAUCCGGAUUUAUUGGGCUUAAAGGGUGCGUAGGCGGUUUUACAAGUCAGUGGUGAAAUCUCCCAGCUUAACUGGGAAACUGCCAUUGAAACUGUUUAUCUUGAGUACAUUUGAGGCGGGCGGAAUGUGUCAUGUAGAGGUGAAAUUCUUAGAUAUGACACAGAACACCAAUGGCGAAGGCAGCUCGCUGGACUGUAACUGACGCUGAGGCACGAAAGCGUGGGGAUCAAACAGG
RNAcentral lists this ribosomal RNA (253 nucleotides) under uncultured bacterium. RNAcentral describes it as "partial 16S ribosomal RNA". It matches the Rfam family "Bacterial small subunit ribosomal RNA", at positions 524 to 776 of the family's 1533-position model. The record is from RNAcentral.